RNAcentral lists this non-coding RNA (22 nucleotides) under Arabidopsis thaliana (thale cress). Lineage: Eukaryota; Viridiplantae; Streptophyta; Magnoliopsida; Brassicales; Brassicaceae. The record is from RNAcentral.
UAUGGAUGAUGCAUUCGACCUA